Molecule: ribosomal RNA, 846 nt
Filed under: uncultured bacterium
Lineage: Bacteria
Description: bacterial SSU rRNA
Rfam family: Bacterial small subunit ribosomal RNA
Source: RNAcentral
GUGCCAGCAGCCGCGUAAUACGGAGGGUGCAAGCGUUAUCCGGAUUCACUGGGUUUAAAGGGUGCGUAGGCGGGCGUAUAAGUCAGUGGUGAAAUCCUGGAGCUUAACUCCAGAACUGCCAUUGAUACUAUAUGUCUUGAAUAUGGUGGAGGUAAGCGGAAUAUGUCAUGUAGCGGUGAAACGCAUAGAUAUGACAUAGAACACCUAUUGCGAAGGCAGCUUACUACGCCUAUAUUGACGCUGAGGCACGAAAGCGUGGGGAUCAAACAGGAUUAGAUACCCUGGUAGUCCACGCCCUAAACGAUGAUUACUCGACGUGUGCGAUAAACGGUACGCGUCUGGGCGAAAGCAUUAAGUAAUCCACCUGGGAAGUACGACCGCAAGGUUGAAACUCAAAGGAAUUGGCGGGGGUCCGCACAAGCGGUGGAGCAUGUGGUUUAAUUCGAUGAUACGCGAGGAACCUUACCUGGGCUAGAAUGCAGUCUGACCGUGGGUGAAAGCUCAUUUUGUAGCAAUACACAGAUUGUAAGGUGCUGCAUGGCUGUCGUCAGCUCGUGCCGUGAGAGUUGGGUUAAGCCCGCAACGAGCGCAACCCCCUAUCAUUAGUUGCCAACAGGUAAAGCUGGGAACUCUAGUGAAACUGCCGUCGCAAGGAGCCGAGGAAAGAAGGGGAUGAUGUCAAGUCAUCAUUGGCCUUAUAUGCCUCAAGGCUAACACACGUGCUAACAAUAGGUGGGACAAAAGAGCUGCGACACAAUGAUGUGAAGCGAAUCCCAAAAAACAACUUUCUCAGGUUCAGAUCGGGAGCUGGCAACUACGACUCCCUGGAAAUGUGUAAAUCCCUAG